This 468-nucleotide ribosomal RNA is filed under the name uncultured bacterium. Its description in RNAcentral is "partial 16S ribosomal RNA". It matches the Rfam family "Bacterial small subunit ribosomal RNA", at positions 28 to 507 of the family's 1533-position model. The record is from RNAcentral.
GACGAACGCUGGCGGCGCGCCUAACACAUGCAAGUCGAACGGAGCUGAGAGAAGCUUGCUUUUCUUAGCUUAGUGGCGAACGGGUGAGUAACACGUGAGUAACCUGCCCUGGAGUGGGGGACAACAGUUGGAAACGACUGCUAAUACCGCAUAAGCCCACGAUCCGGCAUCGGAUUGAGGGAAAAGGAUUUAUUCGCUUCAGGAUGGACUCGCGUCCAAUUAGCUAGUUGGUGAGGUAACGGCCCACCAAGGCGACGAUUGGUAGCCGGACUGAGAGGUUGAACGGCCACAUUGGGACUGAGACACGGCCCAGACUCCUACGGGAAGCAGCAGUGGGGGAUAUUGCACAAUGGGGGAAACCCUGAUGCAGCGACGCCGCGUGGAGGAAGAAGGUUUUCGGAUUGUAAACUCCUGUCGUUAGGGACGAUAAUGACGGUACCUAACAAGAAAGCACCGGCUAACUACGUG